CCUGCCGCGCGCGUAUUGGGCCAAUCUUAGGAACACGUCGAGCGAAGUUAUUUACCGCCGGAUCAAAGUCCUUUUCGCUCACCAUGUUGACGCCGUUAUAGCACUCACACGGCGCUUGUUUCCUAGUGACUUGCUUAACUUGUUUAAAUAUGUACAAGGUGUGGGACAAGGCUCAAGCAACUACUUUUAUCACUCGAUUAAAAUGAAUCUGUUUUGUUUUCGUAAAUAAAGAAAUUGGAAAUUGAAAAAUAAUUAAAUUACCGUAAAAUAUCAUCAAAUAAAACAUAAUAUAAUACACAUAAUGUGUUUUUGUAAAUUUUCUUAAUCAAAAUCGUAUUUCCAUUAAAUAAUCAAUAAAAAAAUAUUGAUUUAAUUAUGUUUUUCAAUUUUCUACUUAAAUUGGCAUAAAAUUAAUCGCUGCGACGAUAAUGAAUUUUCAAUUUUUCAAUUCCGGCCGAAAAUCGCACAUUCGCUCCAAUGAUUGCACGCAAGUUGUUUCUCCUCGCGGUGAUCCUGGCGAUCCAGACGAAAUCCAGCCAUCAACUGCCUAAAGUGCCGAUUCUGUCGGCAAUUACCAGGCCGGUGGCCACAUUAAAAUCUAUACCAUUUGCUGGUUUAUUAAAUCCCGCCGCGGUGCUGAAGAUAGUCGGUAAUCUUCGAGAACUGGCUGUGGGUUUCACGCGUGCUGACUUUAUGGUGGUCGGAAUGAAAACGCUUGAGGUUUUCAGGGACUUGAUAAAAGCUGUUAACAUACCGGCGCUGUCAGAGAUGGACCGCAUGCUUGAGCUGGCACAUGGCGUCUUGGAAAGCGUUCAUCCAAUUUUGGAAGCUUUGAAAGGAAAUGCCAAAAUUGUGGAAGCUGAAGAAACUGCGGCUGGUAACGGAAAAUUCUUCCAGUACAUACGCACCGAUAAAACGACGUUAGCUAGUCUUAUAUCCGAUGGUUUUGCAACUUUUACAUCACUUCCAAGGUUGCUGACUGGUUUUUAAAGAGUUUUUAAAAUUAUCUCUGGAAAAUGUUUUAUAUUUAUUGUAAUUUUCCUGAAUAAAACAAUAACUGUAACUUACA
Dalotia coriaria is the source of this 1069-nucleotide long non-coding RNA. RefSeq lists it as uncharacterized. The transcript has 2 exons. The record is from RefSeq and is a predicted model, not a curated record. Lineage: Eukaryota; Metazoa; Arthropoda; Insecta; Coleoptera; Staphylinidae.